This 940-nucleotide ribosomal RNA is filed under the name uncultured archaeon. Its description in RNAcentral is "bacterial SSU rRNA". It matches the Rfam family "Archaeal small subunit ribosomal RNA", at positions 6 to 922 of the family's 1478-position model. The record is from RNAcentral.
GGUUGAUCCUGCCGGACCCUACCGCUAUCGGGAUGGGAUUAAGACAUGUUAGUCGUGCGCCUUCUAGCCAUGCUGGAGGCGCGGCAUACAGCUCAGUAGCACGUGGCUAACCUGCCCUUAGGACAGAAACAACCCCGGGAAACUGGGGUUAAUUUCUGAUAGGUGAGGAGUCCUGGAAUGGUUCCUCGCUCAAAGGGCGUUUAGGGCAUGCUUCUAGACGUUGCCUAAGGAUGGGGCCGCGGCCGAUCAGGUUGUUGGUGAGGUAAUGGCUCACCAAGCCUAUAACCGGUGCGGGCCGUGGGAGCGGGAGCCCGGAGAUGGGCACUGAGACUAGGGCCCAGGCCCUACGGGGCGCAGCAGUCGCGAAAAUUUCGCAAUAAGCGAAAGCUUGACGGAGCUAUCCCGAGUGCCCUCCGCUGAGGAGGGCUUUUCGCCAGUGUAGAUAGCUGGUGGAAUAAGGAGAGGGCAAGUCUGGUGUCAGCCGCCGCGGUAAUACCAGCUCUCCGAGUGGUGGGGAUGAUUAUUGGGCCUAAAGCAUCCGUAGCCGGCUGGGCAAGUCCCCCGUUAAAUCCAGCGAAUAAUCGCCGGCUUGCAGGGGAUACUGCUCGGCUAGGGGGCGAGAGAGGCCGUCGGUAUUUCCGGGGUAGGGGUGAAAUCCUAUAAUCCCGGGAGGACCACCAGUGGCGAAGGCUGUCGGCUAGAACGCGCCCGACGGUGAGGGAUGAAAGCUUGGGGAGCGAACCGGAUUAGAUACCCGGGUAGUCCAAGCUGUAAACGAUGCAGGCUAGGUGUUAGGGCGGCCACGUGCCGCUCUAGUGCCGCAGGGAAGCUGUUAAGCCUGCCGCCUGGGGAGUACGGCUGCAAGGCUGAAACUUAAAGGAAUUGGCGGGGGAGCACCACAAGGCGUGAAGCUUGCGGUUUAAUUGGAGUCAACGCCGGG